This 1028-nucleotide ribosomal RNA is filed under the name uncultured Acinetobacter sp. RNAcentral's name for it is "bacterial SSU rRNA". It matches the Rfam family "Bacterial small subunit ribosomal RNA", at positions 372 to 1395 of the family's 1533-position model. The record is from RNAcentral. Lineage: Bacteria; Pseudomonadati; Pseudomonadota; Gammaproteobacteria; Moraxellales; Moraxellaceae.
UGGGCGGACCUGAUCAGCCAUGCCGCGUGUGUGAAGAAGGCCUUAUGGUUGUAAAGCACUUUAAGCGAGGAGGAGGCUACCGAGACUAAUACUCUUGGAUAGUGGACGUUACUCGCAGAAUAAGCACCGGCUAACUCUGUGCCAGCAGCCGCGGUAAUACAGAGGGUGCGAGCGUUAAUCGGAUUUACUGGGCGUAAAGCGUGCGUAGGCGGCUUUUUAAGUCGGAUGUGAAAUCCCCGAGCUUAACUUGGGAAUUGCAUUCGAUACUGGGAAGCUAGAGUAUGGGAGAGGAUGGUAGAAUUCCAGGUGUAGCGGUGAAAUGCGUAGAGAUCUGGAGGAAUACCGAUGGCGAAGGCAGCCAUCUGGCCUAAUACUGACGCUGAGGUACGAAAGCAUGGGGAGCAAACAGGAUUAGAUACCCUGGUAGUCCAUGCCGUAAACGAUGUCUACUAGCCGUUGGGGCCUUUGAGGCUUUAGUGGCGCAGCUAACGCGAUAAGUAGACCGCCUGGGGAGUACGGUCGCAAGGCUAAAACUCAAAUGAAUUGACGGGGGCCCGCACAAGCGGUGGAGCAUGUGGUUUAAUUCGAUGCAACGCGAAGAACCUUACCUGGCCUUGACAUACUAGAAACUUUCCAGAGAUGGAUUGGUGCCUUUGGGAAUCUAGAUACAGGUGCUGCAUGGCUGUCGUCAGCUCGUGUCGUGAGAUGUUGGGUUAAGUCCCGCAACAAGCGCAACCCUUUUCCUUACUUGCCAGCAUUUCGGAUGGGAACUUUAAGGAUACUGCCAGUGACAAACUGGAGGAAGGCGGGGACGACGUCAAGUCAUCAUGGCCCUUACGGCCAGGGCUACACACGUGCUACAAUGGUCGGUACAAAGGGUUGCUACACAGCGAUGUGAUGCUAAUCUCAAAAAGCCGAUCGUAGUCCGGGAUUGGAGUCUGCAACUCGACUCCAUGAAGUCGGAAUCGCUAGUAAUCGCGGAUCAGAAUGCCGCGGUGAUACGUUCCCGGGCCUUGUACACUCCGCCC